Ornithorhynchus anatinus (platypus) is the source of this 567-nucleotide long non-coding RNA. RefSeq lists it as uncharacterized. NCBI's taxonomy places the organism in Eukaryota, Metazoa, Chordata, Mammalia, Monotremata, Ornithorhynchidae. The transcript is spliced from 4 exons. The record is from RefSeq and is a predicted model, not a curated record.
CCACGUGGAAGCUGCUGCUGCUGGCCGCUGUGGCCACCGUGGCCACCGCUCAGUCCCUGAGCUACGAAGAGGCUGUAGUUGCCGCCGUCACCGAGUACAACAGAGAAUCGGACGCAGACGCUCUCUUCUGGCUCCUUGAGCUCAAACCCCAAGAGAGGCCCCUCGAGUCCCGCAAAGCCAUCCCCGUGAACUUCACCAUCCAGGAAACCGUGUGCCCCAAAGUGGAGAAUCGUAGCCCGGACCAGUGUGACUUCAAAGAGGGAGGGGUGGUGAGAAACUGUUCGGGCACUGUGCUUCCAACACAGGAAGCCCCCGUGGUCACGCUCACUUGCGACAGGCCUAUUCGGACCAAGCGACGCAUCAAACUCAUAAAGAACGGAGUGAAGAAGGUGAAAGAUAUAUUAAAAAACAACAACAUCAUCAUCUUACCAGGGAGUAAUGAAAAGUAGGCCCUGGGGGCAGAGGCAGCCCGAACCGUCUCCCCCCGACACUGUCACCUCAUCCUGACUCUGCAGGGUCCUGCUGGUGACCCCCUCCCCGCAACCCGGUUCCCCCACCCCUCCCAUC